AUUAAUUUAGAAAUUUAGAAUAAAACAAAUAAUGCUUUGACUCUAACCUCAUGCACACGUGUCUCAUCAAAGUACCCAGUGUGAAGGUAAAUGUUGCAUAUAAUGUUGUUUAGGGGGCAUGUUGUUGUUCAGGAUGCUGCUUUUUUAAGAUGCUGCUCUGUCUCAAUUUUUGUAAAGUUUCCGUCAUCAGAGCAAAAAAGGUUGUGAGUUAUUUCACUUAAUUCUAUGAUAAGAUGUAUAGCAUGGUCCUUGCUGCUGAUAAAAACAAAAGUGGAAGUUAUAACAUCUAGAUCAAUAUGAUUUGACAAAAUAAAGUGCUUCAAUGCACGUUUUAUUUCCUGUUGCACAACUGCAACAGUAAGGGCAACAGGUUUUUUUGUGUUCAUUUUUAAGGCACACUCAAAAAAUGUUUCUGGGUCCUGGUAAAUAUUAAGAAAUAUGUAUACAUACAUUUAAGGAAUAUUAUUAUAAAAUGGAAAAAUGAUUCAUUGAAAUCAUAUAAACACCAUUUGAACUGUCCGCGUAUGAACUUUUAAACAAAUAAUCUAGGCCUAAACAAAUAAUGUAUGCACUUGAAAAAAGCUCAUAAUAUUAACUGACAUGCACAUCACACUCCAGAACAGUAGGUGGCAGUAAGAAAUGAAUCGCCUAUUGUCGAAACACAUUUUCAUUGACGGUAUUUAUCUUCUUCCUGCUGGCACCAAGUUGUUACCUUAUUGGUACAGAAAUAUUUUACAUAAAUCAAAACUAUAUAUGUGAAAUUCAUGCUGUAAUUCAGGUGGGAUAACAAACAAAAACAAAAAACACCAAAGAGUAAAACCGGAAAUGGAAUUACGUCACUUCCUGUUCGUCAGUUGGUCUCCUGCUUUGAAAUUGAGGCAAUCGUUUUCAGCCGGAUGGUUGCCCCCUGUGCGAGUGGAAGAUGUGACUUUGAAGACAGUCAUUGUAAAAGGUGCAAAAGGCUUGUCUAAGAUACGCUGGCAGUCUACACCGCAUGGCCUGCGUUGCUGACAUUGAGUGAAAGUUCCUGUGCCUGACAUAUACUUGAGGAAGCAUCUUGGAGGUUGUCAAGGAGAAUGGAGGCAUUGCCAGAAGGAAGGACUAGAGUGGCGAAGUGAUCCAAAGGCAGACUGCACAUCUACGUAUAUGGUUUGCAAGGAACAUCCCGUGCCAGACACUGUGAUACAAGGCAUGGAGCUGUACAGUGAACUCGGAGCAUCUCUUGUGCAUGUGUGAUGCUCUUUGGACUCGGUUACCGGUAUAUACCCUCAAUCUCAACUCUGUGGAUUUGGAUUUACAAUUUUAAGUAUCCAGAUGAACUGAAAUAUAUGUUCUGGUGAAUUUGGAAAAGAUGCCCAAAAGGUUCAAUCACUAUAAACUACAGUAAAUAUGUUGGACACUGGCAAUCUCAGGUUUUAAGCCAUUGUAUAAAAGGACAAUGCAUCACAUUUCUAUGCAUACUUUUCUGUGCUGUUCUCUGAUCUGAGUUGAUGAUUUUUUAGCUCAGCAUGGCAUUGAGUAUCAUUGAGGGUUUUUUUCUAAGCAUUUUCUAUGCAGAUUAAAAGAUGAGCACUAUAAUGAAAGGCGUAAUAACGCCUCAGUAGCACUUCAUGGACACAUUGAUAUCAUAAUUGAAAACAUUUCUCUCUCCCUCUCCUCCCCCACUUUGGGAAAGAAUCAAAGAGUCAAAAGUGCUCCUGUGGGCAGUUAAUUCUAAAAUGUCCAUUCACAAAUAACAUCUUUUUCAUGAAUGUCUAAGUAAAUAAGUGAGUAAAUAGACACAUACUGUUCUGUUGAGAGUAUGUUUUUCGGCCAGAGAUAUCUGACUGCAUUCAAAAUGGUGGAUUAACAUGCAGAGGACUAUUAUUCAUUUGCCCAAGCGAUUAUGACAUUACUUAGAAUUUGCUGGUGGUUGUAAGCAUUCAUGAAAAAGAUGACAUUUCUGAACAGGCCACAUAAAUUAAUGUGGUACAGUACACUGAUAAUUUCAGGUUUUCUGUUUAAUUUCUGUUAAAUCAUACGAUUAUAUUGUCUAGAUUUUGGUGUUUUAUUAUCGUUUGACUGCAUGUUUGUCCAGCUGAUGAAAUAUUAAUAAAAGAAAUGUUUUGACGUUCUUGUCAAGUAUA
Long non-coding RNA from Engraulis encrasicolus (European anchovy), 2126 nucleotides. RefSeq lists it as uncharacterized. The transcript has 5 exons. The record is from RefSeq and is a predicted model, not a curated record. NCBI's taxonomy places the organism in Eukaryota, Metazoa, Chordata, Actinopteri, Clupeiformes, Engraulidae.